CCUGCCAGUACUAUAUGCUUGUCCCAAAGAUUAAGCCAUGCACGUCUCAGUAUAAACUUUUUGGUGAAACUGCGAACGGCUCAUUAUAUCAGUGAUAAUUCACUUGAUGGUACUUUACACGGAUAACCGUGGAAAAUCUACAGCUAAUACGUGCCAACGCCUGCGGGCGGUAUUUAUUAGAUUAAGCCAAGCCCUUCGGGGAACGGUGAGUCAUGAUAACUGUGCGGAUCGCAGGACGUUAGUCGGCGACGCUUCAUUCAAAUUUCUGCCCCAUCAACUAGACAGUAAGGUAGAGGCUACUGUGGUGGCGACGGGUAACGGGGAAUUGGGGUUCGAUUCCGGAGAGGGAGCCUGAGAAAUGGCUACCACUUCCAAGGAGGCAGCAGGCGCGCAAAUUACCCAAUCCUGACACAGGGAGGUAGUGACAGUAAAUACGAUGCAGGACCACUGGUCAUGCAAUUGGAAUGAGAAC
RNAcentral lists this ribosomal RNA (472 nucleotides) under uncultured eukaryote. Its description in RNAcentral is "bacterial SSU rRNA". It matches the Rfam family "Eukaryotic small subunit ribosomal RNA", at positions 13 to 521 of the family's 1831-position model. The record is from RNAcentral.